GAUGAACGCUGGCGGCGUGCCUAAUACAUGCAAGUCGAGCGAACAGACGAGGAGCUUGCUCCUCUGACGUUAGCGGCGGACGGGUGAGUAACACGUGGAUAACCUACCUAUAAGACUGGGAUAACUUCGGGAAACCGGAGCUAAUACCGGAUAAUGUAUUGAACCGCAUGGUUCAAUAGUGAAAGACGGUUUUGCUGUCACUUAUAGAUGGGUCCGCGCCGCAUUAGCUAGUUGGUAAGGUAACGGCUUACCAAGGCGACGAUGCGUAGCCGACCUGAGAGGGUGAUCGGCCACACUGGAACUGAGACACGGUCCAGACUCCUACGGGAGGCAGCAGUAGGGAAUCUUCCGCAAUGGGCGAAAGCCUGACGGAGCAACGCCGCGUGAGUGAUGAAGGUCUUCGGAUCGUAAAACUCUGUUAUUAGGGAAGAACAAAUGUGUAAGUAACUAUGCACGUCUUGACGGUACCUAAUCAGAAAGCCACGGCUAACUACGUG
This 497-nucleotide ribosomal RNA is filed under the name uncultured bacterium. RNAcentral's name for it is "partial 16S ribosomal RNA". It matches the Rfam family "Bacterial small subunit ribosomal RNA", at positions 28 to 507 of the family's 1533-position model. The record is from RNAcentral.